GCAGACUCUCAGGUCAGAUGGUGAGGGCUGAUUGCGGGAGGUGGACAAGAAGUCUGGCCUAAUGACUAAGGACAGCUAACGCCUAACUCCGUUCCUCAUCACUCCACCUGGGUAAGAGCAUUUGGUGCAACGAGCCAGUUUCGAGCCUGUGAAGGACCGUGGGGCAAGGUGACCGAUGCCGCUACCUCUUUGUCAUUCAGUAGCCCUCUUUACCUGUUUUGGCCUCGCUGCUAGGGCUGUCGCCGAGCUUACACGGACUCCAGAAGCAGCGGAACUGGCAACACCUUGGUGCCCUAGACGGAAACCUCAGUCCCGACUGAAGCGUAUUCAUCACCAACACUGGGAUAGCUGCAGCUAGGGCCACACAAUAAAAAUAGCCCAGGACGGCACUGGCUAUCCGCUGCCCCUUCAGCUAUAGAAUUCCUGUCCUUAAUCGCUUUUAGUUCUGUAACUGCUUGUGGAAACAGCUGAUUACUGGACAGGUGGGAGUACGAAAGGCGUUUAGUAAGACUGCAAAUCUGAUGUGAACUGGUAGGACGCAGAGUGUAUGGCAUAGUCAAGAAAGAAGUCAACGCCAGGCGAGGUGCUAUGGCUAAGGGAUUAAUCUUUUGUGUCCCAACUAUGUUGCUCUGACGGUUCCACUUGCACUACUGGUUUUUACUUCAUCGUUAAUCUCUGCUCUGGCCGAUAACAGCCUGCAUGAAAACAUCACCAGUUUUCAAGUUUUUCUCAGGAUGAACAGUACAUAGAAAAGUGAGCCUGAAUGCUGAGAUCCUGAGACCGUGCUGCGGCGCCUGGGAAUUCAUAGAGCAGCUUUUAAGGGGCCACCACUUCUCGCAUCGUGUGCCAUGCAAGUAAACCUACCCUAUCCUGAGACCCUUGCCUGGGGUGACUGGAAGAGCUGCUUCUGUAGAAUCCUGGGCCAGACCAUCUAUCUGGACGAAUAGGAGAAAAGCCUAGUUGUUGUCUCCUGCAAGAUGUAUUCAGUUGUAAUUUCGCCUUUGUUCCUUAAUCUGUUAGUAUGGUAUAUUACAUCGAUUAAUAUUUCAUAUUAAAUCAGUCAUGAAUUCCCAUUAUGAGCCCCACUUGCUCAUGAUUGAAGAUAUUUCUUAUAUGUUGCAGAUUGACUCUUGGUAUUAUUUGUCCAUUUUUGUACUCACCUAGCACACACAUACAAAAU
Molecule: long non-coding RNA, 1180 nt
Filed under: Homo sapiens (human)
Lineage: Eukaryota; Metazoa; Chordata; Mammalia; Primates; Hominidae
Description: HSALNT0409355
Source: RNAcentral